This 65-nucleotide transfer RNA is filed under the name Pseudunio homsensis. RNAcentral describes it as "Margaritifera homsensis tRNA-Val". The record is from RNAcentral. Lineage: Eukaryota; Metazoa; Mollusca; Bivalvia; Unionida; Margaritiferidae.
CAAAAAGUAGUAUACAACGAUUACAUUUCGUUUACACCGAAAAAAAGGUUUAUCACCCUUUUUGA